UAGGGAAUCUUCCGCAAUGGGCGAAAGCCUGACGGAGCAACGCCGCGUGAGUGAUGAAGGUCUUCGGAUCGUAAAACUCUGUUAUUAGGGAAGAACAAAUGUGUAAGUAACUAUGCACGUCUUGACGGUACCUAAUCAGAAAGCCACGGCUAACUACGUGCCAGCAGCCGCGGUAAUACGUAGGUGGCAAGCGUUAUCCGGUAUUAUUGGGCGGAAAGCGCGCGUAGGCGGUUUUUUAAGUCUGAUGUGAAAGCCCACGGCUCAACCGUGGAGGGUCAUUGGAAACUGGAAAACUUGAGUGCAGAAGAGGAAAGUGGAAUUCCAUGUGUAGCGGUGAAAUGCGCAGAGAUAUGGAGGAACACCAGUGGCGAAGGCGACGUGCUGGUCUGUAACUGACGCUGAUGUGCGAAAGCGGGGUGAUCAAACAGG
This 429-nucleotide ribosomal RNA is filed under the name Actinomycetes bacterium. Its description in RNAcentral is "Actinobacteria bacterium partial 16S ribosomal RNA". It matches the Rfam family "Bacterial small subunit ribosomal RNA", at positions 355 to 776 of the family's 1533-position model. The record is from RNAcentral. Lineage: Bacteria; Bacillati; Actinomycetota; Actinomycetes.